RNAcentral lists this ribosomal RNA (663 nucleotides) under uncultured Alphaproteobacteria bacterium. RNAcentral's name for it is "bacterial SSU rRNA". It matches the Rfam family "Bacterial small subunit ribosomal RNA", at positions 28 to 735 of the family's 1533-position model. Lineage: Bacteria; Pseudomonadati; Pseudomonadota; Alphaproteobacteria. The record is from RNAcentral.
AACGAACGCUGGCGGCAGGCUUAACACAUGCAAGUCGAACGCUCACCUUCGGGUGGGAGUGGCAGACGGGUGAGUAACGCGGGGGAACGUACCCUUUGGUUCGGAAUAACCCAGGGAAACUUGGGCUAAUACCGGAUACGCCCUUCGGGGGAAAGGUUUACUGCCGAAGGAUCGGCCCGCGUCGGAUUAGCUAGUUGGUGGGGUAAAAGCCUACCAAGGCGACGAUCCGUAGCUGGUCUGAGAGGAUGAUCAGCCACACUGGGACUGAGACACGGCCCAGACUCCUACGGGAGGCAGCAGUGGGGAAUAUUGGACAAUGGGCGCAAGCCUGAUCCAGCCAUGCCGCGUGAGUGAAGAAGGCCUUAGGGUUGUAAAGCUCUUUCAGCGGGGAAGAUAAUGACGGUACCCGCAGAAGAAGCCCCGGCUAACUUCGUGCCAGCAGCCGCGGUAAUACGAAGGGGGCUAGCGUUGUUCGGAAUUACUGGGCGUAAAGCGCGCGUAGGCGGGUGAUUAAGUCAGGGGUGAAAUGCCGAGGCUCAACCUCGGAACUGCCUUUGAUACUGGUCGCCUGGAGUUCGGGAGAGGUAAGUGGAAUUCCGAGUGUAGAGGUGAAAUUCGUAGAUAUUCGGAGGAACACCAGAACCGAAGGCGGCUUACUGGCCC